RNAcentral lists this ribosomal RNA (253 nucleotides) under uncultured bacterium. Its description in RNAcentral is "partial 16S ribosomal RNA". It matches the Rfam family "Bacterial small subunit ribosomal RNA", at positions 524 to 776 of the family's 1533-position model. The record is from RNAcentral.
UACGAAGGGGGCUAGCGUUGUUCGGAAUUACUGGGCGUAAAGCGCGCGCAGGCGGCUCUUCAAGUCAGGGGUGAAAGCCCAGAGCUCAACUCUGGAACUGCCUUUGAGACUGAAGAGCUUGAGUACGAGAGAGGUGAGUGGAAUUCCCAGUGUAGAGGUGAAAUUCGUAGAUAUUGGGAAGAACACCGGUGGCGAAGGCGGCUCACUGGCUCGUAACUGACGCUCAUGCACGACAGCGUGGGGAUCAAACAGG